This 456-nucleotide ribosomal RNA is filed under the name uncultured bacterium. Its description in RNAcentral is "bacterial SSU rRNA". It matches the Rfam family "Bacterial small subunit ribosomal RNA", at positions 340 to 786 of the family's 1533-position model. The record is from RNAcentral.
UACGGAAGGCAGCAGGGGGGAAUAUUGCACAAUGGGCGCAAGCCUGAUGCAGCCAUGCCGCGUGUAUGAAGAAGGCCUUCGGGUUGUAAAGUACUUUCAGUCGUGAGGAAGGUGUUAAGGUUAAUAACCUUAGCAAUUGACGUUAGCGACAGAAGAAGCACCGGCUAACUCCGUGCCAGCAGCCGCGGUAAUACGGAGGGUGCGAGCGUUAAUCGGAAUUACUGGGCGUAAAGGGCACGCAGGCGGUUAAUUAAGUUGGAUGUGAAAUCCCCGGGCUUAACCUGGGAAUGGCAUUCAAGACUGGUUAGCUAGAGUCUUGUAGAGGGGGGUAGAAUUCCAUGUGUAGCGGUGAAAUGCGUAGAGAUGUGGAGGAAUACCGGUGGCGAAGGCGGCCCCUGGGACAAAGACUGACGCUCAUGUGCGAAAGCGUGGGGAGCAAACGAGGGAUUAGAUACC